RNAcentral lists this ribosomal RNA (253 nucleotides) under uncultured bacterium. Its description in RNAcentral is "partial 16S ribosomal RNA". It matches the Rfam family "Bacterial small subunit ribosomal RNA", at positions 524 to 776 of the family's 1533-position model. The record is from RNAcentral.
UACAUGGGGUGCAAACGUUGCUCGGAAUCAUUGGGCGUAAAGCGUGCGUAGACGGCUAUCUAAGUCGGGUGUGAAAGCCCCGGGCUCAACCUGGGAAUUGCAUUCGAGACUGAAUAGCUAGGGUGCGGUAGAGGGAAGCGGAAUUUCCGGUGUAGCGGUGAAAUGCGUAGAUAUCGGAAGGAACAUCAGUGGCGAAAGCGGCUUCCUGGACCAGCACCGACGUUCAGGCACGAAAGCGUGGGGAGCAAACAGG